RNAcentral lists this ribosomal RNA (450 nucleotides) under uncultured organism. Its description in RNAcentral is "partial 16S ribosomal RNA". It matches the Rfam family "Bacterial small subunit ribosomal RNA", at positions 334 to 800 of the family's 1533-position model. The record is from RNAcentral.
CACUCCUACGGGAGGCAGCAGUGGGGAAUAUUGGACAAUGGGCGCAAGCCUGAUCCAGCCAUGCCGCGUGAGUGAUGAAGGCCCUAGGGUUGUAAAGCUCUUUCACCGGUGAAGAUAAUGACGGUAACCGGAGAAGAAGCCCCGACUAACUUCGUGCCAGCAGCCGCGGUAAUACGAAGGGGGCUAGCGUUGUUCGGAUUUACUGGGCGUAAAGCGCACGUAGGCGGACUAUUAAGUCAGGGGUGAAAUCCCGGGGCUCAACCCCGGAACUGCCUUUGAUACUGGUAGUCUUGAGUUCGAGAGAGGUGAGUGGAAUUCCGAGUGUAGAGGUGAAAUUCGUAGAUAUUCGGAGGAACACCAGUGGCGAAGGCGGCUCACUGGCUCGAUACUGACGCUGAGGUGCGAAAGCGUGGGGAGCAAACAGGAUUAGAAACCCGGGUAGUCCCAUGA